UUUCGGGCUUCGGCUCGACUCUCCCACCCUUUGUGAACGUACCUCUGUUGCUUUGGCGGCUCCGGCCGCCAAAGGACCUUCAAACUCCAGUCAGUAAACGCAGACGUCUGAUAAACAAGUUAAUAAACUAAAACUUUCAACAACGGAUCUCUUGGUUCUGGCAUCGAUGAAGAACGCAGCGAAAUGCGAUAAGUAAUGUGAAUUGCAGAAUUCAGUGAAUCAUCGAAUCUUUGAACGCACAUUGCGCCCCUUGGUAUUCCGGGGGGCAUGCCUGUUCGAGCGUCAUUACAACCCUCAAGCUCUGCUUGGAAUUGGGCACCGUCCUCAUUGCGGACGCGCCUCAAAGACCUCGGCGGUGGCUGUUCAGCCCUCAAGCGUAGUAGAAUACACCUCGCUUUGGAGCGGCUGGCGUCGCCCGCCGGACGAACCUUCUGAACUUUUCUCAAGGUUGACCUCGGAUCAGGUAGGGAUACCCGC
RNAcentral lists this ribosomal RNA (477 nucleotides) under Botryosphaeriaceae sp. MX104. RNAcentral's name for it is "eukaryotic LSU rRNA". The stretch from base 132 to 285 matches the Rfam family "5.8S ribosomal RNA". The record is from RNAcentral. Lineage: Eukaryota; Fungi; Ascomycota; Dothideomycetes; Botryosphaeriales; Botryosphaeriaceae.